Molecule: unclassified non-coding RNA, 87 nt
Filed under: Pseudomonas migulae
Lineage: Bacteria; Pseudomonadati; Pseudomonadota; Gammaproteobacteria; Pseudomonadales; Pseudomonadaceae
Source: RNAcentral
UGUAGGAGCCGGCUUGCUGGCGAUGCAGACAACGCGGUGUAACAAAUACACCGCGUUGAUGCUAUCGCCAGCAAGCCGGCUCCUACG